This 604-nucleotide ribosomal RNA is filed under the name uncultured archaeon. RNAcentral describes it as "bacterial SSU rRNA". It matches the Rfam family "Archaeal small subunit ribosomal RNA", at positions 63 to 672 of the family's 1478-position model. The record is from RNAcentral.
UGUAGUAAUACAAGGCAGACGGCUCAGUAACACGUAGUCAACCUACCCUAUGGACAAGAAUAAUCUCGGGAAACUGGGCAUAAUUCUUGAUGGAUCAUAAUGCCUGGAAUGGUUUAUGGUUAAAAUGAUUCGUCGCCAUAGGAUGGGACUGCGGCCUAUCAGCUUGUUGGUGAGGUAAUGGCCCACCAAGGCGAUUACAGGUACGGGCUCUGAGAGGAGAAGCCCGGAGAUGGGUACUGAGACACGGACCCAGGCCCUAUGGGGCGCAGCAGGCGAGAAAACUUUGCAAUGUGCGAAAGCACGACAAGGUUAAUCCGAGUGAUUUCUGCUAAAGAAAUCUUUUGCCAGUCAUAAAACCACUGGUGAAUAAGGGGUGGGCAAGUUCUGGUGUCAGCCGCCGCGGUAAAACCAGCACCUCAAGUGGUCAGGAGGAUUAUUGGGCCUAAAGCAUCCGUAGCCUGUUCUAUAAGUUUGCGGUUAAAUCCAUAUGCUCAACAUAUGGGCUGCCGUAAAUACUGUAGAACUAGGGAGUGGGAGAGGUAGACGGUACUCGAUAGGAAGGGGUAAAAUCCUUUGAUCUACUGAUGACCACCUGUGGCGAAGG